UGUUAUCCUGUCUGAAUAUGGGGGGACCAUCCUCCAAGGCUAAAUACUCCUGAUUGACCGAUAGUGAACCAGUACCGUGAGGGAAAGGCGAAAAGAACCCCGGCGAGGGGAGUGAAAUAGAACCUGAAACCGUGUACGUACAAGCAGUGGGAGCACCUUCGGGUGUGACUGCGUACCUUUUGUAUAAUGGGUCAGCGACUUAUAUUCUGUAGCAAGGUUAACCGUAUAGGGGAGCCGUAGGGAAACCGAGUCUUAACUGGGCGAAUGAGUUGCAGGGUAUAGACCCGAAACCCGGUGAUCUAGCCAUGGGCAGGUUGAAGGUUGGGUAACACUAACUGGAGGACCGAACCGACUAAUGUUGAAAAAUUAGCGGAUGACUUGUGGCUGGGGGUGAAAGGCCAAUCAAACCGGGAGAUAGCUGGUUCUCCCCGAAAGCUAUUUAGGUAGCGCCUCGUGAACUCAUCUUCGGGGGUAGAGCACUGUUUCGACUAGGGGGUCAUCCCGACUUACCAACUCGAUGCAAACUACGAAUACCGAAGAAUGUUAUCACGGGAGACACACGGCGGGUGCUAACGUUCGUCGUGAAGAGGGAAACAACCCAGACCGCCAGCUAAGGUCCCAAAGUCAUGGUUAAGUGGGAAACGAAGUGGGAAGGCUCAGACAGCCAGGAUGUUGGCUUAGAAGCAGCCAUCAUUUAAAGAAAGCGUAAUAGCUCACUGGUCGAGUCGGCCUGCGCGGAAGAUGUAACGGGGCUAAACCAUGCACCGAAGCUGCGGCAGCGACAUUUAGAUGUUGUUGGGUA
This 802-nucleotide ribosomal RNA is filed under the name Providencia stuartii. RNAcentral's name for it is "partial 23S ribosomal RNA". It matches the Rfam family "Bacterial large subunit ribosomal RNA", at positions 427 to 1230 of the family's 2925-position model. Lineage: Bacteria; Pseudomonadati; Pseudomonadota; Gammaproteobacteria; Enterobacterales; Morganellaceae. The record is from RNAcentral.